AUUUAGACUGAAAUUUUUAUAAAUGUUUUAAUAUACUAAAAACAUUAAUAAACUUAGUAAAGGAGAUAGAAAAUUAUUUUAUUAAAUAAAAGUACUGAGAAGGAAAUAGUUGCAAUUAGAUAAUAAAAAGAAUUAAGUUCUGUACCUUUUGCAUCAUGGUUUAGCUAGAUUUAAUUUUUUUAAGAAAUUUCUCGAAACCUAAUGGGCUAUACUUAACCGAUAUUAUUAGAUAUCGUAGAAGUAAUUGUAGCAUAAAUUUUUUUAGAGUUAAGUAUAGAAAUGAGAUUUUAUGCGUAUUAGGUGAUAGCUAGUUUUUCUCUAAAAGUAUAGAAGUACUACGAAUUUUUAAUACUAUGGAGAACAAUAACUAUAGUAUAUAUAAAAAUUUAGUCAGGUUCUUGAGGAUAAGCUCAAGAACAUGUUAAUUUGUAUAUAAAAUGUUUAGUUAAAUUUAGGCUUGAAGAUGGCCAUAAUGAAUGACUUUGUUACAAUUUCAUUACUUUAAAAAACAUAAAAUCAAUUUACUUUUUUAAAGAGAAGAAAGUUUUUGAAAUCAAAAUAGAACUAAACGUAUGCUAAAAUGAGUAUUAAUUAAUUUAUGUUUUUUAUUACAAUAAAAUUAAAACCUAAAUACAAUAUUUUUAUAAAAAAUUGAUGAAAGGAACUCGGCAAAUAUGGAUUCCGCCUGUUUAUCAAAAACAUGGCUCCCUGAUAAUUUUAUAUAGGGAGUCGGACCUGCUCGGUGAAUAUAUUUUAACAGCCGCGGUACUCUGACCGUGCAAAGGUAGCAUAAUCAUUUGCCUUAUAAUUGAAGGCUAGUAUGAAUGGUUUGACGAGAAUCGAGCUGUCUCUCUUCAAUUAAAUAUAAUUUUAUUUACAGGUGAAGAAGCCUGUUUACUAUUGAAAGACAAGAAGACCCUAUCGAGCUUUAAGGAAUUUAGUAAACUUACAACAUAUUUAUAAAAAAGUGAGAUUAUUAAAGACUUUGGUUGGGGCGACUGAGGAACAAACAAAGCUUCCUUUAACUAAGAAAAACUUACAGGUAAUGAUCCAAUAAAAUUGAUCAAAGAAAUUAGUUACCGUAGGGAUAACAGCAUAAUCUCCUUCGAGAGUUCUCAUCGAAAAGGGGGUUUGUGACCUCGAUGUUGGACCAGAAUACCCAGAAGAUGCAGCUGUCUUCAAUGGUUGGUCUGUUCGACCAUUAAAAUUCUACGUGAUCUGAGUUCAGACCGGCGUGAGCCAGGUCAGUUUCUAUCUUCAAUUUAUGAUGAUUGCUUUAGUACGAAAGGACCAAGCCAUUGCAAAAUUAGUUUGUAAUAUCCAUGAUUAAAUAUAAAGAUUAAUUUAAUUUAUAGG
RNAcentral lists this ribosomal RNA (1356 nucleotides) under Purpura bufo. Its description in RNAcentral is "large subunit ribosomal RNA". It matches the Rfam family "Bacterial large subunit ribosomal RNA", at positions 431 to 2760 of the family's 2925-position model. The record is from RNAcentral. Lineage: Eukaryota; Metazoa; Mollusca; Gastropoda; Neogastropoda; Muricidae.